Molecule: unclassified non-coding RNA, 263 nt
Filed under: plant metagenome
Description: partial contains small subunit ribosomal RNA, internal transcribed spacer 1, and 5.8S ribosomal RNA
Source: RNAcentral
UUUCUGUAGGUGAACCUGCGGAAGGAUCAUUAUUGUAUAACCGAGGUGCGAGGGCUGUCGCUGACCCGAAAGGUCGUGCACGCCCGAGUGCCCUCACACACAUCCAUCUCACCCCUAUGUGCACCACCGCGUGGGUCCCCCUUUGGCUUGUUCGGAGGGGGGCUUACGUUUUCACACAAACUUUGUAUGCAGUGUAGAAUGUAUUUUUUGUUCUUGCGAUCACGCAAUCAAUACAACUUUCAACAACGGAUCUCUUGGCUCUC